UCCGUGUUAACCACGGCAGUCUCUUUAGAGUGCCCAACUUAAUGCUGGCAACUAAAGACAAGGGUUGCGCUCGUUGCGGGACUUAACCCAACAUGUCACCACACGAGCUGACGACAGCCAUGCAGCACCUGUCACCCUGCGGUAUUGCUACCGAGACCGUAUUUCUACGGCUGUCAGGGGAUGUCAAACCCAGGUAAGGUUUUGCGCGUUGCUUCGAAUUAAACCACAUGAUCCACCGCUUGUGCGGGCCCCCGUCAAUUCCUUUGAGUUUUAGUCUUGCGACCGUACUUCCCAGGCGGAGUACUUAUUGCGUUAGCUCCGGCACGGCAGGGGUCAAGACCCGCCAUGCCUAGUACUCAUCGUUUACGGCGUGGACUAC
Molecule: unclassified non-coding RNA, 379 nt
Filed under: uncultured Oligoflexales bacterium
Lineage: Bacteria; Pseudomonadati; Bdellovibrionota; Oligoflexia; Oligoflexales
Description: contains 16S-23S intergenic spacer region
Source: RNAcentral